RNAcentral lists this ribosomal RNA (207 nucleotides) under uncultured bacterium. Its description in RNAcentral is "partial 16S ribosomal RNA". It matches the Rfam family "Bacterial small subunit ribosomal RNA", at positions 568 to 774 of the family's 1533-position model. The record is from RNAcentral.
CGUGUAGGCGGCUUGGUCAGUCAGAUGUGAAAGCCCUGGGCUCAACCCAGGAAGUGCAUUUGAAACUGCCCCGCUUGAGUAUGGGAGAGGAGAGUGGAAUUCCCAGUGUAGAGGUGAAAUUCGUAGAUAUUGGGAGGAACACCCGUGGCGAAGGCGACUCUCUGGACCAAUACUGACGCUGAGACGCGAAAGCGUGGGGAGCAAACA